UAUGGAAUUGGUCGCUUCCUGGCGCUAAAAUGAAUAACUGUCAAUAUUGUAUAAAAUUGUAUAUACAAUGAAACAUUUCUUCAAAUUCAGAAAGGAAAUAGCAAACUAAACCAUGCAAUGCAAUAAAAUAAAAUACCAUGCAAAAUAAAAAUGUGUCACUUACCUUGGUGGAAGUUUGAUCAAGGAAGAUAGUGGAUCAAAAAUGAUUCACAAAACACAAUGAAAGAAAUCUUGAACUAAAGAAAGAGGCUUGCUUUAUAGCGGUAAAUACAUUUUAUUUUGUGACAUAAAAUAAAAGAAAACUUCUACUGUAAAUGUAUAAUUUACAAUAAUUUAUAAGGAAAAUACACGCAUGCUACAUCUACAUGAUAUCUGUAGAUUAUUUAUAAGCAAUUUAGAUAAAAAUGAGAAACAAAACGAAAAAAAAAAAAAUACGAAAGAAAAAUCAUACAAACAUAAAUAUACUUGUUUGACGAAAUACGAUUCGUAUUAUCGAUAAGAAUUGAGUAAAUACACACGUUUACUCUAGAAAACGAAACGUAAUUAUCGAACUUAUUGUUUACAGAGUAGAAAUUUUCAUUAGUGUCUAAAAAUAAUCCCUUAGAAAAUUACUUGAUGUUAUAUCGUUAAAAAUUAUUUAAUAAUAAUGUUUCAUACUAUUUACGAGACUAUAAUAAAACGA
Long non-coding RNA from Osmia bicornis bicornis, 682 nucleotides. RefSeq lists it as uncharacterized. NCBI's taxonomy places the organism in Eukaryota, Metazoa, Arthropoda, Insecta, Hymenoptera, Megachilidae. The transcript is spliced from 2 exons. The record is from RefSeq and is a predicted model, not a curated record.